RNAcentral lists this ribosomal RNA (450 nucleotides) under Pseudomonas sp. RNAcentral describes it as "bacterial SSU rRNA". It matches the Rfam family "Bacterial small subunit ribosomal RNA", at positions 27 to 473 of the family's 1533-position model. The record is from RNAcentral. Lineage: Bacteria; Pseudomonadati; Pseudomonadota; Gammaproteobacteria; Pseudomonadales; Pseudomonadaceae.
GAUUGAACGCUGGCGGCAGGCCUAACACAUGCAAGUCGAGCGGUAGAGAGGUGCUUGCACCUCUUGAGAGCGGCGGACGGGUGAGUAAUGCCUAGGAAUCUGCCUGGUAGUGGGGGAUAACGCUCGGAAACGGACGCUAAUACCGCAUACGUCCUACGGGAGAAAGCAGGGGACCUUCGGGCCUUGCGCUAUCAGAUGAGCCUAGGUCGGAUUAGCUAGUUGGUGAGGUAAUGGCUCACCAAGGCGACGAUCCGUAACUGGUCUGAGAGGAUGAUCAGUCACACUGGAACUGAGACACGGUCCAGACUCCUACGGGAGGCAGCAGUGGGGAAUAUUGGACAAUGGGCGAAAGCCUGAUCCAGCCAUGCCGCGUGUGUGAAGAAGGUCUUCGGAUUGUAAAGCACUUUAAGUUGGGAGGAAGGGCAUUAACCUAAUACGUUAGUGUUUGAC